GAGGGAAACCGAGUCUUAACCGGGCGUUAAGUUGCAGGGUAUAGACCCGAAACCCGGUGAUCUAGCCAUGGGCAGGUUGAAGGUUGGGUAACACUAACUGGAGGACCGAACCGACUAAUGUUGAAAAAUUAGCGGAUGACCUGUGGCUGGGGGUGAAAGGCCAAUCAAACCGGGAGAUAGCUGGUUCUCCCCGAAAGCUAUUUAGGUAGCGCCUCGUGAAUUCAUCUCCGGGGGUAGAGCACUGUUUCGGCUAGGGGGCCAUCCCGGCUUACCAACCCGAUGCAAACUGCGAAUACCGGAGAAUGUUAUCACGGGAGACACACGGCGGGUGCUAACGUCCGUCGUGAAGAGGGAAACAACCCAGACCGCCAGCUAAGGUCCCAAAGUCAUGGUUAAGUGGGAAACGAUGUGGGAAGGCCCAGACAGCCAGGAUGUUGGCUUAGAAGCAGCCAUCAUUUAAAGAAAGCGUAAUAGCUCACUGGUCGAGUCGGCCUGCGCGGAAGAUGUAACGGGGCUAAACCAUGCACCGAAGCUGCGGCAGCGACACUGUGUGUUGUUGGGUAGGGGAGCGUUCUGUAAGCCUGCGAAGGUGGCCUGUGAGGGUUGCUGGAGGUAUCAGAAGUGCGAAUGCUGACAUAAGUAACGAUAAAGCGGGUGAAAAGCCCGCUCGCCGGAAGACCAAGGGUUCCUGUCCAACGUUAAUCGGGGCAGGGUGAGUCGACCCCUAAGGCGAGGCCGAAAGGCGUAGUCGAUGGGAAACGGGUUAAUAUUCCCGUACUUGGUGUUACUGCGAAGGGGGGACGGAGAAGGCUAUGUUGGCCGGGCGACGGUUGUCCCGGUUUAAGCGUGUAGGCUGGUUUUCCAGGCAAAUCCGGAAAAUCAAGGCUGAGGCGUGAUGACGAGGCACUACGGUGCUGAAGCAACAAAUGCCCUGCUUCCAGGAAAAGCCUCUAAGCAUCAGGUAACAUCAAAUCGUACCCCAAACCGACACAGGUGGUCAGGUAGAGAAUACCAAGGCGCUUGAGAGAACUCGGGUGAAGGAACUAGGCAAAAUGGUGCCGUAACUUCGGGAGAAGGCACGCUGACACGUAGGUGAAGUGAUUUACUCAUGGAGCUGAAGUCAGUCGAAGAUACCAGCUGGCUGCAACUGUUUAUUAAAAACACAGCACUGUGCAAACACGAAAGUGGACGUAUACGGUGUGACGCCUGCCCGGUGCCGGAAGGUUAAUUGAUGGGGUCAGCGCAAGCGAAGCUCCUGAUCGAAGCCCCGGUAAACGGCGGCCGUAACUAUAACGGUCCUAAGGUAGCGAAAUUCCUUGUCGGGUAAGUUCCGACCUGCACGAAUGGCGUAAUGAUGGCCAGGCUGUCUCCACCCGAGACUCAGUGAAAUUGAACUCGCUGUGAAGAUGCAGUGUACCCGCGGCAAGACGGAAAGACCCCGUGAACCUUUACUAUAGCUUGACACUGAACAUUGAGCCUUGAUGUGUAGGAUAGGUGGGAGGCUUUGAAGUGUGGACGCCAGUCUGCAUGGAGCCGACCUUGAAAUACCACCCUUUAAUGUUUGAUGUUCUAACGUGGACCCGUUACCCGGGUUGCGGACAGUGUCUGGUGGGUAGUUUGACUGGGGCGGUCUCCUCCUAAAGAGUAACGGAGGAGCACGAAGGUUGGCUAAUCCUGGUCGGACAUCAGGAGGUUAGUGCAAUGGCAUAAGCCAGCUUGACUGCGAGCGUGACGGCGCGAGCAGGUGCGAAAGCAGGUCAUAGUGAUCCGGUGGUUCUGAAUGGAAGGGCCAUCGCUCAACGGAUAAAAGGUACUCCGGGGAUAACAGGCUGAUACCGCCCAAGAGUUCAUAUCGACGGCGGUGUUUGGCACCUCGAUGUCGGCUCAUCACAUCCUGGGGCUGAAGUAGGUCCCAAGGGUAUGGCUGUUCGCCAUUUAAAGUGGUACGCGAGCUGGGUUUAGAACGUCGUGAGACAGUUCGGUCCCUAUCUGCCGUGGGCGCUGGAGAACUGAGGGGGGCUGCUCCUAGUACGAGAGGACCGGAGUGGACGCAUCACUGGUGUUCGGGUUGUCAUGCCAAUGGCACUGCCCGGUAGCUAAAUGCGGAAGAGAUAAGUGCUGAAAGCAUCUAAGCACGAAACUUGCCCCGAG
RNAcentral lists this ribosomal RNA (2151 nucleotides) under Salmonella enterica subsp. enterica serovar Enteritidis. Its description in RNAcentral is "partial 23S ribosomal RNA". It matches the Rfam family "Bacterial large subunit ribosomal RNA", at positions 668 to 2803 of the family's 2925-position model. Lineage: Bacteria; Pseudomonadati; Pseudomonadota; Gammaproteobacteria; Enterobacterales; Enterobacteriaceae. The record is from RNAcentral.